ACGGCUCAGUAACACGUGGACAACCUACCCUCAGCACGGGGAUAAACCCGGGAAACUGGGUAUAAUACCCGAUAGUUCUGGUUUGCUGGAAUGCUUCCAGGACGAAAGCUCCGGCGACUGAGGAUGGGUCUGCGGCCUAUCAGGUAGUAGUGGGUGUAAUGUACCUACUAGCCUACGACGGGUACGGGUCGUGAGAGCGAGAGCCCGGAGAUGGAUUCUGAGACACGAAUCCAGGCCCUACGGGGUGCAGCAGGCGCGAAAACUUUACAAUGCUGGCAACAGCGAUAAGGGGACCUCGAGUGCCAGGAUACAAUCUUGGCUGUCGUAAUGCCUAAAAAGCAUUGCAUAGCAAGGGCCGGGCAAGACCGGUGCCAGCCGCCGCGGUAACACCGGCGGCUCGAGUGGUAACCGCUAUUAUUGGGUCUAAAGGGUCUGUAGCCGGCCGGAUAAGUCUUUUGGGAAAUCCAGCUGCUCAACAGUUGGGCUUUCAGAAGAUACUGUUCGGCUCGAGGCCGGGAGAGGUGAGAGGUACUUCAGGGGUAGGGGUGAAAUCUUGUAAUCCUUGAAGGACCACCAGUGGCGAAGGCGUCUCACCAGAACGGACCUGACGGCAAGGGACGAAAGCUAGGGGCACGAACCGGAUUAGAUACCCGGGUAGUCCUAGCCGUAAACGAUGCUCGCUAGGUGUCACAACAGUCGUGAAUUGUUGUGGUGCCGUAGGGAAGCCGUGAAGCGAGCCACUUGGGAAGUACGACCGCAAGGUUGAAACUUAAAGGAAUUGGCGGGGGAG
RNAcentral lists this ribosomal RNA (790 nucleotides) under uncultured archaeon. Its description in RNAcentral is "bacterial SSU rRNA". It matches the Rfam family "Archaeal small subunit ribosomal RNA", at positions 85 to 876 of the family's 1478-position model. The record is from RNAcentral.